Molecule: ribosomal RNA, 385 nt
Filed under: uncultured bacterium
Lineage: Bacteria
Description: bacterial SSU rRNA
Rfam family: Bacterial small subunit ribosomal RNA
Source: RNAcentral
AUUGAACGCUGGCGGCAUGCCUUACACAUGCAAGUCGAACGGUAACGCGGGGCAACCUGGCGACGAGUGGCGAACGGGUGAGUAAUGCAUCGGAACGUAUCCGAUAGUGGGGGAUAGCUCGGCGAAAGCCGGAUUAAUACCGCAUACGAUCUACGGAUGAAAGCGGGGGCUCGCAAGACCUCGCGCUGACGGAGCGGCCGAUGUCAGAUUAGGUUGUUGGUGGGGUAAAAGCCUACCAAGCCUGCGAUCUGUAACUGGUCUGAGAGGGCGACCAGCCACACUGGGACUGAGACACGGCCCAGACUCCUACGGGAGGCAGCAGUGGGGAAUUUUGGACAAUGGGCGCAAGCCUGAUCCAGCCAUGCCGCGUGCGGGAAGAAGGCCU